RNAcentral lists this ribosomal RNA (253 nucleotides) under uncultured bacterium. RNAcentral describes it as "partial 16S ribosomal RNA". It matches the Rfam family "Bacterial small subunit ribosomal RNA", at positions 524 to 776 of the family's 1533-position model. The record is from RNAcentral.
UACAGAGGUGGCAAGCGUUGUUCGGAAUUACUGGGCGUAAAGGGCGCGUAGGCGGUUCGUUAAGUCCUGUGUGAAAUCCCCCGGCUCAACUGGGGAACUGCACAGGAAACUAGCGGGCUUGAGCUCGGGAGAGGGAAGCGGAAUUCCCGGUGUAGAGGUGAAAUUCGUAGAUAUCGGGAGGAACACCGGUGGCGAAGGCGGCGACCUGGGUAGAUACUGACGCUGAGGUGCGAAAGCGUGGGGAGCAAACAGG